AUGAGUGCUGCUAAUCGUUCCCAACCGAUCAAGUUGAACAGGCCUGUCGUAGGCAAAGCACGAAAGUUGAAGGAUCUCAUGCUGAAAAGUGACAAUCGAGUGUGUGCUGAUUGUAGUGCACCUGACCCCAAAUGGGCGUCUUCUAAUAUCGGAGUAUUUCUUUGCUUAAAAUGUGGAGACGUCCACAGGGCCCUUGGACAAGACAUUUCAAACGUUUUGUCUUUAACUUUGGAUGAUUGGUCUGAUAGUGAUAUUGACUCCAUGAUUGAGGUUGGUGGAAACUCAUAUGCAAAUUCAAUUUAUGAGGCUUUUCUUCCAAAAGAUCACCCAAAACCUAAACCAGACUCACCAAUGGAAUAUCGUACCAAAUUUAUAAGAGCCAAGUAUGAAACACAAGAUUUUCUGAAGCCAAGUUUGCGCAUUAGCUCAAAGGCAGGUUUAGAAUCUACCAAAUCUCUGAACAGUGUGGAUAAUAGUUUCUCUAGCACUUCAAGGAAGCAUGCCCCAGAAGAUACAAGAGAAUUUGUUGGACAACUGAACAUUACAGUGGUAAAAGGUUCUGGGUUGGCGGUCAGAGAUAUGCUUACAAGUGAUCCUUAUGUUGUUUUAAGUCUUGGAGAGCAGAAGGCUCAAACAACAGUUAAAGCGAGUGACCUGAACCCGGUAUGGAAUGAGGUUCUUAAUCUAUCAGUUCCUCGAAAUUAUGGACCUUUAAAACUUGAAGUGUAUGAUCACGACACUUUCUCUGCUGACGAUAUCAUGGGGGAAGCAGAGAUAGAUCUGAAGCCAAUGAUCACAGCUGCUAUGGCCUUUGGAGACCCGUCGCGUCACGCGGACAUGCAAAUUGGAAGGUGGUUCAUGACCAGAGACAAUUGCCUGUUGAGCGACAGCAUUGUCAAUAUUUCGUCGGGAAAGGUAAAGCAGGAAGUUUACCUAAAGCUGCAGAACGUAGAAUCAGGUGAGAUGGAGUUAGAACUGGAAUGGGCUCGUCUAGAUUAA
Molecule: ribosomal RNA, 999 nt
Filed under: Triticum aestivum (bread wheat)
Lineage: Eukaryota; Viridiplantae; Streptophyta; Magnoliopsida; Poales; Poaceae
Description: partial small subunit ribosomal RNA
Source: RNAcentral